Molecule: ribosomal RNA, 1502 nt
Filed under: uncultured Bordetella sp.
Lineage: Bacteria; Pseudomonadati; Pseudomonadota; Betaproteobacteria; Burkholderiales; Alcaligenaceae
Description: partial 16S-23S ribosomal RNA intergenic spacer
Rfam family: Bacterial small subunit ribosomal RNA
Source: RNAcentral
AGUUCGGAUCCUGGCUCAGAUUGAACGCUGGCGGGAUGCUUUACGCCACAUGCAAGUCGUGAACGGCAGCACGGACUUCGGUCUGGUGGCGAGUGGCGAACGGGGUGAGUAAUGUAUCGGAACGUGCCUAGUAGGCCGGGAUAAUCACGCGAAAGCGCAGCUAAUACCGCACUUAGCCGCCCUUCGGGGAAAGCGGGGACCUUUCGGGCCUCGCACUAUUAGAGUCGCCGAUAUCGGAUUAGCUUGCUGGUGGGGCACGGCUCACCAAGACGAGAUCCAGAAGCCGGUUUGAGAUAAUGCAUCCAGCCACACCGGGACUGAGACACGGCCCAGACUCCUACGGAGGCAGCAGUGGGGAAUUUUGGACAAUGGGGGAAACCCUGAUCCAGCCAUCCUGCGUGCGAUGAAGGCCUCUCCUGGGUUGUAAAGCACUUUUGGCAGGAAAGAAACGGCACGAUAAGUCGACCCCCGUGCAACUGACGGUACUCUGCAGAAUAAGACCACAAUCCACGCCAGCAGCCGCGGUGGUAAUACGUAGGGUGCAAGCGUUAAUCGGAAUUACUGGGCGUAAAGCGUGCGCAGGCGGUUCGGAAAGAAAGAUGUGAAAUCCAGAGCUUAACUUUGGAACUGCAUUUUUAACUAUCGAUAGAGCGUCAGAGGGAGGUGGAAUUCGCGGGCAGUGAAUGCGAUAUGCGGAGAACACUGGAUGGCGAAGGCAGCCUCCUUGAUAACACUGACGCUCAUGCACGAAAGCGUGGGGAGCAAACAGGAUUAGAUACCCUGGUAGUCCACGCCCUUAAACGAUGUCAACUAUUCGUUGGGGCCUCGCCCCGGUAGCGCAGCUAACGCGGUGAAGUUGACCGCCUGGGGAGUACGGUCGUAAAAGAUUAAAACUCAAAGGAAUUGACGGGGACCCGCACAAGCGGUGGAUGAUGUGGAUUAAUUCGAUGCAACGCGAAAAACCUUACCUACCCUUGACAUAAAACGCUGGGAACUGAAGAGAUUUAAAAAAGUGGGGGAGUGCUCGCAAGAGAACCGGAACAUGUAUGCUGUAUGGCUGUUGCCAAUAGCUCAGGCCGUGAGACGUUGGGUUAAGUCCCGGCAACGAGCGCAACCCUUGGUCAUUAGUUGCUACGAAAGGGCACUUAAUGAGACUGCCGGCAUGUAAACCGGAUGAAGGUGGGGAUGAGACGUCAAAGUCCUCCACUUAUGGGUAGGGCUUCUACACGUCAUACAAUGGUCGGGACAGAGGGUCGUCAACCCGCGAGGGGGAGCUAAUCCCAGAAACCUGAUCACGUCCGAUCGCAGUCUGCAACCUGCGACUGCGUGGUCGGAAUCGCUAGUAAUCGCGGAUCAGCAUGUCGCGUGAAUACGUUCCCGGGUCUUGUACAUACCGCCCGUCACACCAUGGAGGGGUUUUACCAGAAGCGGUUGCGCCUAACCGUAAGGAGGGCGAUUACCACGGUAGGAUUCAUGACUGGGGUGAAGUCGUAACAAGGUAG